GGUCUUGUGGUCUAGUGGUAUGAUUCUCGCUUAGGGUCACCUAAGUUUCAAUUUCAUUCAUUUGAAAUGCGAGAGGCCCCGCGUUCGAGUCGCGGCAAGACCC
This is a non-coding RNA of Patellaria atrata CBS 101060, 103 nucleotides long. The record is from the annotation of a GenBank genome assembly. NCBI's taxonomy places the organism in Eukaryota, Fungi, Ascomycota, Dothideomycetes, Patellariales, Patellariaceae.